Adelges cooleyi (spruce gall adelgid) is the source of this 210-nucleotide long non-coding RNA. RefSeq lists it as uncharacterized. The record is from RefSeq and is a predicted model, not a curated record. The transcript has 3 exons. Lineage: Eukaryota; Metazoa; Arthropoda; Insecta; Hemiptera; Adelgidae.
AUCUAAUACCAAAACCACCAGUGGCUUCAUCAAAUUCAUCAGAUACAUCACCGUGUAAGUUAUUUUCGCUGUUUUACUAAAAAAAAAUCAUAAAAGUCUUUCCAAAGCAUACAAUUGAGUAAUUUGAUAGAAUAUUGUUUUUGAACGAACUAUUAGUAAGAUUUUUUAAGAAACAAACGACGUUAGCGACACCAGCCGCGCAAUCGCCGA